RNAcentral lists this long non-coding RNA (459 nucleotides) under Rhinopithecus bieti (black snub-nosed monkey). RNAcentral describes it as "lncRNA (ENSRBIG00000045028.1)". The record is from RNAcentral. Lineage: Eukaryota; Metazoa; Chordata; Mammalia; Primates; Cercopithecidae.
UAUGACAUUGAAGUGUAAUAUCUCUUUAUUUUUUAACUAGGUGUGGAAUAUCCCAGGAAUCUUGUCAUUGAUCAUUCCUGGAAUAGCUUCAUCUAUGAGAGUCCUGCCUUCAGAUUUAGUUCUGUGAGUGAAAUACAAGGAACUACACUGCCUCCUAAAGGAAAUGUAGAUAUCUCAUUGUUAUUUAUACCCAAAAUUAUGAAAUUACACAAAACAAUGGUUAUUAUUGAGAUGAAAAAAGCAAAUGGAAAAUAUUGGCCUAUUGACAAUUUUGAUGAGUUGGAUGUAGAAUCUAAAAGUAUUAUGGGAAUCGACAGCGAAGAAAUCCAAGCAAUACACUGGAUAUACCCUAUUGUUGGACUCCCACUAGCACCACCUCCUAAAUCUCCUCCAAGUAGGUAUACAUUAGAGUCAGAGAAUGCCAGAAUUCUUACAGACCUUAGAUAUUCUCUAUUCCCA